UGAGCGCAGGUAGCUGCUCUGCACCUUGUCCAUAGCAGCCUGCAUAAACGACACUUCCUCCUGAAACACAUGACCGAAGAAGAGAAACCUCAGAUCUCCUCCCAUUCAGACCAGGACAUGAGUGUCUCGAAGUUAAUAUCUGAGUCUGAAGCUCUGACGACUCAUCUGGGAAGGUGGACAGACAGCUGGAGGGCCGCAGCCUGACACUGGCAGCUUCCGCUGGAUAGAGCGGGGGCCAGGCGGGUGGCAGGAGGUCCCAGGAACGGAUACUGCAGUGCAACAGCAACAUCAUUACAGCAAUAGCCUGGGCUGAGCCGAAAACCUGGAUUUUUUUGGCACACACAAAACCAACAGCUUAGGGACGGGAGUCCUGGACAAGCCGGCAGCACGAGAUAAACAAAGAGGGACUUCUCAGGUCCUGCAACUCUACAGCUCAUUACAUGCCCAGGGUGCAUAAAAAGGAGAGACAUUCGAUCAUGCAUACAAUAUGAAGUUGUCUGUGGGACUCUUAAAACUUGGGACCAGUUAAAGUGUGUUUCGUGAUGGUAGUUUGGCAUUGUCCAGUCUAACUUGUUCUGAGAGCGUCAGGCUAGAAAGGCUGUAGUACUCAUCUUAUAAGACACAAUGCAUGUGGUGCAAAGGAUACAGGAACUGGAUUCACCAAUAUGUGGGUUUGAUAGUGGGACUGGUUGAUUGGUAUAUUGGUUUCUAUAUUUUAUUUUUUUCUAGCAAACUGGAAAGACUUUUUAUGAGGAGUAGAUAACUUUCUGUCUUCUUUAUUGUUUAUGUAUUGGAAUGAUGUAGGCUGGUGUUAAUGAUUGCAUGUGCCAAGUGAAACAGUAAUAUUGGUUUGCUUGAUCAUUUAUUAUCAUUAUUAAAUUAUUUUUAUUGGAUUUUCAGAAUGUGUCUUUCAGUGCC
This is a long non-coding RNA of Scophthalmus maximus (turbot), 918 nucleotides long. RefSeq lists it as uncharacterized. The transcript has 5 exons. NCBI's taxonomy places the organism in Eukaryota, Metazoa, Chordata, Actinopteri, Pleuronectiformes, Scophthalmidae. The record is from RefSeq and is a predicted model, not a curated record.